UUCGUGUAUGCAUAUUCCGAC
RNAcentral lists this non-coding RNA (21 nucleotides) under Caenorhabditis elegans. Lineage: Eukaryota; Metazoa; Nematoda; Chromadorea; Rhabditida; Rhabditidae. The record is from RNAcentral.